CCGCAGAAUGGUUUUAAUUUUUUCUCUUUUUUUCGGCGAAAGAAUUAGCCCGAUCGGGUCACCGGUUUCGGAAAUACAGAUGUUUAAACUUGUAUUUUAUUUGCAUUGGUUUGAAUGUGAACGAAAUUGAGCGAACGCGACAAACCGUGCGUGACGUCAUCGAGGGUCAAAGAGAGUGGGAAACGAACAAAGCGCAGUUAGUGCUAGUACAGCUUGCUGAACCAGAGUUGAAGAGUGAACAUGGCUAAUUUAGAAAGUUCUGAUGGUGCAGAAUCAAUUUCUGACUUAGAUGAAGAUGUUGAGGAUAUACAUGGUGAUUAUGGAUACAUGUUGGAUCGGCUUAAACCUCCCUUGAGUAUUAGGAAAAUGGGGUGCAGGCCCUGAAGCCCAAACACCUUGCAAAUUGCCAAUAUUGCCAAUACGAAUGGCGAGCUGCAAUUGUUUUUUUUAUAUAUAUCAGAAGAUGAUACAUAUAAUAAUUUUCGUUAAGUUGCACAUGUGGCAAUUAUAUAUCAAUGCCCUCUCUUUUACAUUCGUUAUGUUGCUGUCAACUUAAAAAUAAAUUAAGGGAAAAAAAACAAUUUUAAGGCGCGUGUCGCAAUCCCUUGGUUUUAGAGACAGCACACUGAGCUUACAAACAAGAUUAUGGCAGAGUUGUGCACUCUAUUUCAAGGCAACACAAGUUUAGAAGAUUCAGACAUGUGGCCUACAGAUGUUGGACGACGUGUUCUUGUGCUUAUCCCAUCAUGUGUUGUUAACAUCUACAUUUCCAAGUGACACCUGUACUGGAUUCAAGUCUGCCGUCUUGGCAAAGUGAUUAGCAGUUAGCACACCUGCCUGUAAGCCAGAGGUAAUGGGUUCAAGGCUCGACGCUGUUACAAUUGUGGGCAAGGUGGAUGAACAACCAUGUUAUAACGACUAUUGUUUUCUGGGCAUCCAAUUUUAAAUUAAAUUUUCUAUUUUGUAAAAAACUUUAUUUGCAACAAAGCAUGGGCUGCAUUUGAAACGUCCUUGUCAGGUUGAAGAUAGUUGGAGGUUAACGGUGGUAGACAAGAAAGUAUUGGUGUGUCUAUGAAUGUCUUUUUACAUUUUCUAUGUUUUCCUCUUCGUAGGCUCGUUUGUGUUUUCUGGUUGUGUUGUGCAGUUUCAGUUUGAAUACACUUGUCAUCUUUCUCUGG
Ciona intestinalis (vase tunicate) is the source of this 1178-nucleotide non-coding RNA. NCBI's taxonomy places the organism in Eukaryota, Metazoa, Chordata, Ascidiacea, Phlebobranchia, Cionidae. The record is from RefSeq and is a predicted model, not a curated record.